UUUGAUCCUGGCUCAGAACGAACGCUGGCGGCGUGCCUAACACAUGCAAGUCGAACGCGAAAGUCCUUCGGGAUGAGUAAAGUGGCGCACGGGUGAGUAACGCGUGGGUAACCUACCCCCCGGCGGGGGAUAACCACUCGAAAGGGUGGCUAAUGCCGCAUGAGACCACGGGGUCUUCGGAUCCUGAGGCCAAAGGCUGCAUCGGCUUGCCGGUGUAGUCACCGGAGGAUGGGCCCGCGUCCGAUUAGCUGGUUGGCGAGGUAACGGCUCACCAAGGCUACGAUCGGUAGCUGGUCUGAGAGGAUGAUCAGCCACACUGGAACUGGAACACGGUCCAGACUCCUACGGGAGGCAGCAGUGAGGAAUAUUGCGCAAUGGGGGAAACCCUGACGCAGCAACGCCGCGUGGGUGAAGAAGGCCUUCGGGUCGUAAAGCCCUUUCGGACGGGACGAACGCUCCGCGGGGACAAGCCGCGGAGUCUGACGGUACCGUAGGAAGAAGCACCGGCUAACUCCGUGCCAGCAGCCGCGGUAAUACGGAGGGUGCGAGCGUUGUUCGGAAUUACUGGGCGUAAAGCGCGUGUAGGCGGCUUUGCAAGCCAGACGUGAAAGCCCUCGGCUUAACCGGGAGAAGUGCGUCUGGAACUGCUUGGCUCGAGUACGGGAGAGGGAGGCGGAAUUCCCAGUGUAGAGGUGAAAUUCGUAGAUAUUGGGAGGAACACCGGUGGCGAAAGCGGCCUCCUGGACCGAUACUGACGCUGAGACGCGAAAGCGUGGGGAGCAAACAGGAUUAGAUACCCUGGUAGUCCACGCGGUAAACGAUGGGCACUAGGUGUGGGGGGUAUCCACUCCUCCCGUGCCGAAGCUAACGCAUUAAGUGCCCCGCCUGGGGAGUACGGCCGCAAGGUUAAAACUCAAAGGAAUUGACGG
RNAcentral lists this ribosomal RNA (929 nucleotides) under uncultured bacterium. RNAcentral describes it as "bacterial SSU rRNA". It matches the Rfam family "Bacterial small subunit ribosomal RNA", at positions 12 to 916 of the family's 1533-position model. The record is from RNAcentral.